Molecule: ribosomal RNA, 637 nt
Filed under: Paraburkholderia sp.
Lineage: Bacteria; Pseudomonadati; Pseudomonadota; Betaproteobacteria; Burkholderiales; Burkholderiaceae
Description: bacterial SSU rRNA
Rfam family: Bacterial small subunit ribosomal RNA
Source: RNAcentral
CGGAACAUGUCCAGUAGUGGGGGAUAGCCCGGCGAAAGCCGGAUUAAUACCGCAUACGAUCCAUGGAUGAAAGCGGGGGACCUUCGGGCCUCGCGCUAUUGGGGUGGCCGAUGGCGGAUUAGCUAGUUGGUGGGGUAAAGGCCUACCAAGGCGACGAUCCGUAGCUGGUCUGAGAGGACGACCAGCCACACUGGGACUGAGACACGGCCCAGACUCCUACGGGAGGCAGCAGUGGGGAAUUUUGGACAAUGGGCGAAAGCCUGAUCCAGCAAUGCCGCGUGUGUGAAGAAGGCCUUCGGGUUGUAAAGCACUUUUGUCCGGAAAGAAAUCCUUCGAGAUAAUACCUUGAGGGGAUGACGGUACCGGAAGAAUAAGCACCGGCUAACUACGUGCCAGCAGCCGCGGUAAUACGUAGGGUGCGAGCGUUAAUCGGAAUUACUGGGCGUAAAGCGUGCGCAGGCGGUGAUGUAAGACCGAUGUGAAAUCCCCGGGCUUAACCUGGGAACUGCAUUGGUGACUGCAUCGCUGGAGUAUGGCAGAGGGGGGUAGAAUUCCACGUGUAGCAGUGAAAUGCGUAGAGAUGUGGAGGAAUACCGAUGGCGAAGGCAGCCCCCUGGGCCAAUACUGACGCUCAUGC